UAACAACUCACCUGCCGAAUGAACUAGCCCUGAAAAUGGAUGACGCUUAAGCGGGUUGCCGACACCAGACCGUUUUGGUAAGAAGCGACCAAAAUGAGUAGGAGGGCGUGGCGGUUUUGUUGAGAAGGAUGAGACGCAAGUCUAUCUGAAACGGCCGCUAGUGCAGAUCUUGGUGGUAGUAGCAAAUAUUCAAGCGAGAUCCUUGAAGGGCGAAGCGGGGAAGGGUUCCACGCGAACAUUGAUUGGGCGUGGGUGAGUCGUGCCUAAGCCGGGUGGUAAUCGUUCUUACGAUCGGCGAAAGGGAAGCGGGUUAAAAUUCUCGCACACGGAUGUGGAGGCGGUGACGCAAAUUGAGGUGGAGACGUUAGCGAUGGCACUGGGCAGAGUUGUCUUUUCUGUUUAACCUGUGGCGGCACUCUGUGGAAUCCGAUUAUCGGGAGAAACAGGUGCUUAUGGGAAGAGCGUCGGGGCGUCCCCGGCGUCCAGUACGCCAUCGAUAGCCCUUGAAAAUCCAUCUGCAAUGAAAUUUCACGCCGUGGCGUACCGAUAACCGCAUCAGGUCCCCAAGGUGAACAGCCUCUGCUCAAUAUGAACAAU
Molecule: ribosomal RNA, 597 nt
Filed under: Harveylithon sp.
Lineage: Eukaryota; Rhodophyta; Florideophyceae; Corallinales; Porolithaceae
Description: partial large subunit ribosomal RNA
Rfam family: Eukaryotic large subunit ribosomal RNA
Source: RNAcentral